Molecule: ribosomal RNA, 390 nt
Filed under: uncultured Glomeromycotina
Lineage: Eukaryota; Fungi; Glomeromycota
Description: SSU rRNA
Rfam family: Eukaryotic small subunit ribosomal RNA
Source: RNAcentral
AGCAGCCGCGGUAAUUCCAGCUCCAAUAGCGUAUAUUAAAGUUGUUGCAGUUAAAAGCUCGUAGUUGAAUUUCGGGAUCAAUAUUUCGGUCAUGCCGUUGGUAUGCACUGUUAUCAUUGAUUUCUCACCUUCUAAAGAACCGUAAUGCCAUUAAUUUGGUGUUACGGGGAAUUAGGACUGUUACCUUGAAAAAUUAGAGCGUUUAAAGCAGGCUCACGCUUGAAUACAUUAGCAUGGAAUAAUGAGAUAGGACGUUCGAUCCUAUUUUGUUGGUUUCUAGGAUUGACGUAAUGAUUAAUAGGGAUAGGUUGGGGGCAUUAGUAUUCAAUUGUCAGAGGUGAAAUUCUUGGAUUUAUUGAAGACUAACUACUGCGAAAGCAUUUGCCAAGG